UAGGGAAUCUUGCGCAAUGGGCGAAAGCCUGACGCAGCCAUGCCGCGUGUAUGAUGAAGGUCUUAGGAUUGUAAAAUACUUUCACCGGGGAAGAUAAUGACGGUACCCGGAGAAGAAGCCCCGGCUAACUUCGUG
This 135-nucleotide ribosomal RNA is filed under the name uncultured bacterium. RNAcentral describes it as "partial 16S ribosomal RNA". It matches the Rfam family "Bacterial small subunit ribosomal RNA", at positions 355 to 507 of the family's 1533-position model. The record is from RNAcentral.